This 592-nucleotide ribosomal RNA is filed under the name Debaryomyces hansenii. Its description in RNAcentral is "LSU rRNA". It matches the Rfam family "Eukaryotic large subunit ribosomal RNA", at positions 63 to 671 of the family's 3401-position model. Lineage: Eukaryota; Fungi; Ascomycota; Pichiomycetes; Serinales; Debaryomycetaceae. The record is from RNAcentral.
AAGCAAGGGGCAUGNCGUUAGUACGGCGAGUGAAGCGGCAAAAGCUCAAAUUUGAAAUCUGGCACCUUCGGUGUCCGAGUUGUAAUUUGAAGAAGGUAACUUUGGAGUUGGCUCUUGUCUAUGUUCCUUGGAACAGGACGUCACAGAGGGUGAGAAUCCCGUGCGAUGAGAUGCCCAAUUCUAUGUAAAGUGCUUUCGAAGAGUCGAGUUGUUUGGGAAUGCAGCUCUAAGUGGGUGGUAAAUUCCAUCUAAAGCUAAAUAUUGGCGAGAGACCGAUAGCGAACAAGUACAGUGAUGGAAAGAUGAAAAGAACUUUGAAAAGAGAGUGAAAAAGUACGUGAAAUUGUUGAAAGGGAAGGGCUUGAGAUCAGACUUGGUAUUUUGCGAUCCUUUCCUUCUUGGUUGGGUUCCUCGCAGCUUACUGGGCCAGCAUCGGUUUGGAUGGUAGGAUAAUGACUAAGGAAUGUGGCUCUACUUCGGUGGAGUGUUAUAGCCUUGGUUGAUACUGCCUGUCUAGACCGAGGACUGCGUCUUUUGACUAGGAUGUUGGCAUAAUGAUCUUAAGCCACCCGUCUUGAAACACGGACCAANA